AAUGUAAUUUAAUAAACUAGAGUAGUAAUAGUUAUAGUCUUUAAACUUAAAAAUUUUGGCGGUAUUUUAGUCUAUUCAGAGGAACUUGUAUUUUAAUCGAUAAUCCCCGGGAGACCUUGCUUAAAUUUAUAAAUUAAUUUGUAUACCGUUGUUAUAGAAAAUUUUAAAAGAACAAUAAUUUUCAAUAAUUUUUAUAAAAUUUUAUAUCAAAUCAAGGUGCAGUUUAUAUUUAAGUUAAUAUGAGUUACAAUAAAUUUAUUUAUAUGGAAAUAAAAAUGAAAAUUUUAUUUAAAGUGGAUUUGAUAGUAAAAUUAAAAAGUGAAUUAAUUUGAUUUUAGCUCU
RNAcentral lists this ribosomal RNA (342 nucleotides) under Phora atra. RNAcentral describes it as "partial 12S ribosomal RNA". The record is from RNAcentral. Lineage: Eukaryota; Metazoa; Arthropoda; Insecta; Diptera; Phoridae.